This 82-nucleotide transfer RNA is filed under the name Parascedosporium putredinis. It matches the Rfam family "tRNA". From Rfam's summary of the family: Transfer RNA (tRNA) molecules are approximately 80 nucleotides in length. Their secondary structure includes four short double-helical elements and three loops (D, anti-codon, and T loops). Lineage: Eukaryota; Fungi; Ascomycota; Sordariomycetes; Microascales; Microascaceae. The record is from Rfam by way of RNAcentral.
UCUUCCUUGGUCUAGUGGUCAGGAUACCUGCUUGUCAUUGAACAAGUCGCAGGUGGCCGGGGUUCGAUUCCCCGAGGGAGAG